GGAGGAAGUUUUUGCCGCGCGUCGUCUGGCUGUGUCAGUACAGCGCACGGUGGUAUAAAGCGCGUCUGAUAGUGGUGGCUAGGCGAGGCUCUGGGCGGGGCGGCUAGGAGCAGCGGAGAAGGGUUCGGAUCCCGGGGCCGCCUCCGGGAGAAGAAGUUGGAGGGAGCAGGACGGGCGUCGGGGCGCAGGGCCGUCUAGCAGGCUGCCGAAUGCGAAGCGAGGGCUCCCCGUUGGCCGGCCGCCCUCUCGCCGGGCUGGGCGUUUGCAAUGCCUUUGGCCGAGCGGAGUGCGGAUUCUUGCCGCUUUUUGGACGGAACGGUCUCUAACCCCGACCCCUCUCGGCGUGGGAAGACCCGUGGGCGAAGGGGAGUGCCGACGCAGGCCUCCAAAGGCUCGGAGGCAGCUGAGAAGAUUUUGUAAAGGCGCCCGGAAAGACUGCAGCGCUGUGAGACCAAGCUUACUUCGCCACGACUGGGACACUAAUCCUGGUCGAAGAUCCAGAGUGUGAAAAUAAACAGUCGUCACCAAAAGCCAUUCUCCUGAGCCCCUUAUGCCAGAAAAAGCGCAUCACCCUUGUGUGCCUGGCCCAGGGCUUCCCCUACCAGUGGCCACUGAAUGUGACCUGGAAGCGGGACGGCCAAGAGAUUCGCCACCAAUUCUCCUUUGCCACUGAGCCAGUCCAGGAAGAAGGGAAGUGCAACUUUGCCACUGCCAGUCGCCUGAGUGUGCUGGCAGAGGAGUGGCAGGACGGCCACAACUACUCCUGCCAUGUCCGCCAAAUAGGGUUGGAUGAAAAAUAUGACUGGGUGAUAAGCAAGCCAGGCCAGAAGACAGCAGCUUCAGGCAUCUCUGAGGUGCAGCUCAGCCUUUCUGCAGGGCACUUUAUAUUCCUCCUACUGGUGGCCAAAAGUUUGGCCUACAGUGUCGUUCUGAGCAUCUACAGAGUCUACAGAAAAAGAGGUCUCUAAUUGCAUUACCCGCUACAGCAGUAGUCACUCCCCUACCAGCCAAGGCACAGAUUUACUUAUAGCUGCAGGCCUUUCCAGUGAAGAUCUAUUCCAUUCUGAGGUUUCCACAUCCUUCUUCUCAGCCUCUUCCUUCCAGAGGGAUUCAUCGGUCACUUUAUAUUAAAUUGUUCAAUGCCUUGAGCAAAUUUCAAUACUCAUUUUCUGUCUCAUAAUAAAGAUGUUCGU
Non-coding RNA from Python bivittatus (Burmese python), 1193 nucleotides. NCBI's taxonomy places the organism in Eukaryota, Metazoa, Chordata, Lepidosauria, Squamata, Pythonidae. The record is from RefSeq and is a predicted model, not a curated record.